This 462-nucleotide ribosomal RNA is filed under the name Tetragnatha virescens. RNAcentral's name for it is "partial large subunit ribosomal RNA". Lineage: Eukaryota; Metazoa; Arthropoda; Arachnida; Araneae; Tetragnathidae. The record is from RNAcentral.
AAACAUUUUUUUAAGAAUUAAUUAAAAUAAAACCUGCUCAAUGAAUAAUUUAAAUAGCCGCAGUAUAUUAACUGUGCUAAGGUAGCAUAAUCAUUAGCCUCUUAAUUAGAGGCUAGAAUGAAUGGUUAUACAUUUCUUUUACUAUUUUUUAUUUUCUAAAUAUAAAUUAUACUAAAUAUAAAAAUAUAUUUAUAAAAAAAAUAGACGACAAGACCCUUUCAAACUUUACUUUAGUUAAGCUGGGGAAGCUAUAAAAUUAUAAUCUUCUUUUUAUUUUUAAAAAUAGACCUAAUUUAAAAUUAAUUUAAUGAAUAAGUUACUGAAGGGAUAACAGCAUUAUAUAUUUUAAUAGUUCUUAUAUAAAAAUAUGUUUUUGACCUCGAUGUUGAAUUAUUUUUCUUUUAAACGCAAGAGUUUAAAAAGUAGGUCUGUUCGACCUUUAAUAUUUUACAUGAUCUGAGU